This is an RNA transcript of Hemibagrus wyckioides, 11944 nucleotides long. It is a transcript of the gene named cytochrome P450 2M1-like, with no coding region annotated. Lineage: Eukaryota; Metazoa; Chordata; Actinopteri; Siluriformes; Bagridae. The transcript is spliced from 11 exons. The record is from RefSeq and is a predicted model, not a curated record.
AACAGAGUCACAUAGUUGUACUGAGUUACAGAAUAUUUGAAUUUGUCCUGCAGUAAACACAAUUCCGCUGCACUGCAUUUGUUAAACCCGUAUAAUGGAUGUAUUGUUUGCUUUACAGACAAACUUUUGGCCUUUAUUAAUUGCUGCUGCUGUUUUCUUUUUUAUUUGGAAAAGUCUCAGUAAAGAAUAUCAGUGUAAGUUUGGACGGCUGCCUCCAGGUCCAGCUCCUGCACCUGUGUUUGGGAAUUUCUUUCAGGUUUAUGUAAAGGAACCGUACAACUAUUACCUUGAGCUCAGUAAAAAACAUGGAUCUAUUUUCACCCUUUGGUUUGCCAACACACCUGUUGUGGUGAUCUCUGGAUACCGAGCCCUGAAAGAAACAAUGAUUGGUAUGGGCAAUGAGUUUAGUGGCAGGGAAAACUACCCUCUCAUAAUGAAGAUCACUAAUGGAUAUGGUGUUUUGGUCAGCAGUGGGGAAAGAUGGAAGCAGCUUCGGCGGUUCACUCUGUUAACCCUCAAGAACUUUGGGAUGGGUCGACACACCAUCGAGGACAAGGUGAAGGAGGAGGCCAGCUGUCUUGUGCAAAGUUUUAGUACAUUUGGAGACUCAGCUUUCAAUCCAGGAAUCAUAAUAAAUAAAGCAGUGUGCAGUGUGAUCUGCUCAAUCAUAUUUGGACAGAGAUUUGAAUCAGAUGACCCACAGUUAAAUCUUAUGCUUGGGGCUGUUGAUGACUACUUUAAUGUUCUCAAUAGUCCACUUGGACAGGCCUAUAAUAUUUUUCCCAAAAUUGUGGGCCUUUUCCCUGGACGUCUCCAUGACAUGUUGUCAGAAGUGGAAAAGGCCAAAGGUUUAUUUAAGCUUGAAGCAGAGGCACGGAUGAAGACACUGGAUCCUUCUUCACCCCCUAAAGAUUUUAUUGAGGCUUUUCUUUUACAAAUGGAAGAGGAGAAGCAUAACCCUAAUACAGAAUUUACCUUCAAUAACUUAUUGUGCACAACAUGGGCCAUGUUUAGUGCUGGCACUGAGACUACGUCUUCUACAAUCAGACAAAGCCUGCUGCUAAUGAUGAAGCACCCAGAUAUUCAAGCACGAGUCCAGAAGGAGAUUGAUAAAGUGGUUGGGCAAGACCGAUACCCUUCUAUUGAUGACAGACAGAACAUGCCAUAUACAGAUGCAGUCAUUCACGAAGUUCAGCGCUCCAUGGAUCUUGCUCCCACUGCUGUUCCACAUAAAAUGUUAUAUGACACUGAGUAUAGGAACUAUCUCAUACCCAAGGGAACCAUGGUUCUUCCUUUGCUGUCUUCUGUGCUUUCUGACCCUAAGCUAUGGAAAAACCCUGACAAUUUUGAUCCAGAGAACUUUCUGGAUGAAAAGGGACGAUUCAAAAAAAGUGAUGCAUUUGUUGUAUUUGGAAUGGGUAAGCUAAAAUCUAGGAUGAUCCCUAGAAAUGAUCAUGACUGACACUGCUGUUCUGUGAUUUUUAUAGGCCUACUGCUUUUAUUCCAAAUAUGAAAUUAUGGGGUCCACAUGGAGUGCUGAAAGAGGUGCCUUUUGGGAGCUUCAUAGCACUAGUUUCAAUUCAAAGAGUACAAGUUCAAAGAGUGUUGGGUUCUGAGGAAUUUGACAUGGGUGAUGAAGGGAAUUCCUCCGUCAAUUUGCCACCACAGCCAGUGGCAUUCGAGGAGCUUCUCGAAAUAAUUACAUUUAAAUUGGCCGGAGCAGGAAGCUAUCGUCAUCUGUUCAAAGCUAGACAACCGUUUUCUGACUUCUUGACAGGGCAGAGAGAAAGGGUAGUGUGGCAGCCUGUGCCCCCUACCAAAAUCUAGGGAGGCCGGCCAGUGGGCACGGGCUCAGGCCUGUCAGGUGAGACCUGACCUGAGAUUGGUCAUCUCAGCCAGGCAGGCCAUGAAGGAAUCCUGAUGUCCAUGGGCUAGGGUUCCUGGGAGCACCCUCCUUAGUGGGGCUUUCCCUACCCUCUACCCCACCACCUCUGGUGUUUUGGGGCUUGGUACGACCCACUCUUGCACCCGUUUCCUUUAUAAAUCCAUCCCCCCAGUCUGUACAUGCCAGUACACUGUUUCAAGACACCAGGGGGGACAACAUGAGUUUGACACCUCUCUCAGAGAACCUGGCAGCAUGGAAACGUCUGCCAGGUGUCUCUCAGUGGGACCUAGAUACCAUAAAGAAAGGGUACAGGAUCCAGUUUGCCACCCAUCCCCCUCAAUUUCAGGCACACACCAAACUUUGUUCCUCCAAGAGGGACUUCUCUCCCUUCUGAGAAAAGGGGCCAUAGAGCAUGUUCCCCUUCCAGAUCGGGAUUCAGACUUUUACAGCUGGUAUUUUGUUGUACCCAAGAGAGACAGGGGGCUGCUUCCAGCCUGCGACCUGCGAGCUCUGAACUCUGCCCUAAAGAAGUUCAAGUUCAAGAUGCUCACUACAAAACUGAUUGCAUCACAGAUCAGAUCUGAGGACUUGUUUGUGAUGAUAGACCUCAAGGAUGCCUAUUUUCAUAUAGGCCAGAACACAGGAAGUUCCUCUGGUUUGCUUUCGGUGGCGAAGCUUACCAGUAUCAGGUUUGUCCUCUUGGUCUAGCUGUCCGUGUACUCAAUUACCUGGAUGACUGGCUUAUCCUGGCCCACUCCAAGGCCAUGGCAGUCACCGGGAUGCAGUACUUGCCCUAUGAGGUCUGUAGGCCUCAGGAUCAACCCAGAAAAGUUUGUGCUUUCUCCAUAUCAGAUAACCACCUUCUUGGGGGUGAUUUGGGAUUCCACCACGAUGCGGGCAUGUCUAUAUAACUGCUCGGAUGACUUCCAUACUGUCAGUAGUAAUUGUUGUUUGGCUAGACCGAAACCUCUCUGUCACCGAGGCGCAGAGAGUCCUCAGCCUCAUGGCAGCUGCAGCCAACGUGAUUCCUUUGGGUCUGCUUCACAUGAGUCCGUUCCAGUUCUGGCUCAGAGGUGCGGGCUUCCAUCCUCACAGGCAUCCCCUCAACGCCAUCAGGGUUAUACGCUGCGGGCUUACGCUGUACCCUACUAAUGUGGACAAGACCCUGGUUUCUGGCCUUGGGUCCCACUCUAGGGGCGUGUCACCAUCUCAGGACUCUUUCGAUGGACGCCUCACUUUUGGGCUGGGGUGCAGUCUUGGAUGGCUGCCCUGCCUAGGGUCUUUGGGAAGGCCCUCAACUCUCAUGGCACAUAAAUUGCCUGGAGAUGAGGGCUGUGUUUCUAGCUCUGAAACACCUUCUCCCACACCUCAUGGGCUUCCUUGUGCUGGUACACACAGACAGCACCACAGUGGCUGCUUAUAUCAACCAUCAGGGUGGACUGUAUUUGCGCCCUCUCUAAACAUUGGUGCAGCAGAUCCUGCUCUGCUCCAACAAGUCCUAGCCAGAGUGCACCACGAUGGGGUACACCUUAUUCUAGUGGCUACCCGCUGGCCCGCUCGAGUUUGGUUCACAGACCUUGUCUCCCUCCUAGACACCGCUCCUUGGAAGAUUCCCAUCAGGAAAGAUCUCCUCUCUGAGGCAUGAGGGGUGAUUCUCCACCCCCGCCCAGGGAUGUGUAAGCUCUGGGUCUGGCCCCUGAGGGGGACCAGUUCCUAGAGGCAGGCCUCUCAUCAGAGGUUGUGGAGACUCUGCUGAAUGCUAGGGCUCCCUCCACUAGGAAGCUUUAUGCUCUUAAGUGGAGACUGUUUAGUCUCUGGUGUGCUCAGUGCGAGCAGGACCUAGUGCACUGCACAGUGCUGGGUUUCCUACAGUGUUCUCUUUCUUAGGGCCUGUCCCCCUCUACCGUAAAGGUGUAUGUGGCCGCCAUUGCUGCGAACCUUGUCCUUGGGGCCUCCCUAGGUAGGCACCCUCUGGUCUCUCGCUUUCUGUGGGGUGCCAGGCAGCUGAGGCCUUCCUGCAGACUGCACCUCCCCUUCUGAAACCUCUCAGUGGUCCUGGACGGGUUGCUGGAAACCCCCUUGAGCUCAUGGAGUCAGCCUCAGAGAAGUUUCUGACCCUUAAUAUGGCUCUAGCCUAUGCUUAGUAUGGUUCUAGGCUUUUAGCCUUGGCCUCCCUUAGACGGGUAGGGGAUCUGCAGGCUCUAUCAGUCGUACCUGCCUGCCUGGAGUUUGCCCCUGGCAUGUCCAAGGCUAUCUUUCACCCCAGGGCUGGAUGUCCCAAAGGUGUCCAGGAUGGCUGGUCGUCCAGUCAUACUGCAGGCCUUCUGCCUUCUGCCCCAUGACUUGGUGUAACAGGAGAGGCUGCACUUGCUCUGCCCAGUCAGAGCCCUUUAGACUUAUGUCCACUGCUCCACCUCGUGGCGUAAGUCUCCAUCCUUGUUUGUCUGCUUUGGGAGCUGGAACAAGGUUAAUCUGGUCUCCAAGCAGAGCUUGGCACACUGGGUGGUAAAGGACAUUACUCUGGCCUACGAGGCACAUGGUAUUGCUUUGCCUCUAGGGGUCAGGACUCACUCUACUAGGGGUGUCUCCUCAUCCAAUGCCCUGGCUAGGGGUGUUCCCCUCCAGAAGAUUUGUGCUGUCCUGUCUGCACACCUUUGUCAGGUUUGACCAUUGUGUGGCGUCCUUUUGCACUUCCUUCCGACAAAGGAAAGCUGAAUGAAUGUUAUGUAGAUGCCCUUAUAUGGACAUGCUGGCGCGUAUUCCUCCGUCACGUGUCCUAUCUGAGCCAAUGAAUUGGCGUGUGUGCACAGGGAGCUUCAGACACACUUCCUCGACAAAGUGUUCCCAUAGUGUCAGUCAUAACGCAGCAUCUCGUUCCCUUCUCAGGGAACAGGGUUACUUAUGUAACCUGUUGUAGAUUUGUCUCAUCUGUCCAAAGGACAUUCUCCCAGAAGCUUUGUGGCUUGUCAAUAUGCAUUUUUCCAAAUUCCAGUCUCACUUUUUUAUGAUUUGCUUUCAACAGUAGAGUCUUCCACUUUGGCUCAAACAGUGACGGAUGGCGCAAUCUGACACUGAUGUACCUUGACCUUGGAGUUCACCUCUAAUCUCUUUGGUUACCAUUUGUAUCAUCUGUCUCUUCAAUUUGUCAUCUAUUUUCCUUUUCGGCCAUGUCCAAGGAGGUUGUCCACAGUCCCAUUGACCUUAAACUUCUGAAUAUGUGCAAGUGUAGUCACAGGAACAUCAAGCUGCUCGGAGAUGGUCUUAUAGCCUUUACCUUCAACAUGCUUAUCUAUAAUUUUCCUUCUAAUUUCCUGAGACAACUCCCUCCUUAGCUUCCUGUGCUCCAUGUUCAGUGUGGGGCACACCAUGAUACCAAACAUUACAGUGACUACUUUUCACUGUUUAAAUAGGCAGACUGACUUAUUACAAGUUGAAGACACCUGUGAUGCUAAUUACAGGACACAUAAUUAGUUUAAUAUGUCCCUAUGGUCAAAUUAUUUUCAUUUCUAGGGGAACCAUCAUUUUUGUCUAGGCCUGUUUCAUUAACUUGUUUUUGUAAAUCGUUCUGUUGAACCACAAUUCGAAUGCAAUGUCUGAUUUUCAUACGUCAAGUUUCAGUAAAUUUUUAUAUAUUACCUUUGUCAGUUUCAAGUUGUCAGUGAACAUUGUGGGUUUUUCUUUUUUUAAUGGAUGGUGGCCAACAAUUUUGUCCAUGUGUGUAUGUAGGCAUUGCACAAGGUUAUAAAGCCGGUAUUGCCCACUUUAAACGCAUCACAAGUUCACGUAUACUGCAAAAGCCGACAAGCACCCGUGUCGUUUGUGAGCAAAAACUGGUAAGUCCAUUUUAGCGAGUCAGCGCGCAGUAUUCAGUUCAGCUGACCAGGCUGCUAGUCACUUCGGAAAGACACACUUGAUGAGAGGAGUUUCACUGAACCAGACUAAGUGUUCAAGUAUGGAUAAUUUUGACGGACUUGAUGAACCUGUGAUAUAUUCUUCAGGGCGUAAAAGGAAAAAAACUGAAAUUUUUUGACGGAACAUUGCUAAAGCAGCACAUUACAGUGGUGAAAGGAAAGCUUUCUGUAUUUCGUGUGUAACUGAGCUUCCAUAUCGGGAGAGAGAGAAUUAUGGCGUGUAUUUCAUCAAAACCGAUUUUGACAGGUCUGACAGCCAAUCAGAAUCGUCCACGUCACAUUGUCCCACCCCUUUCAACCAAUCAGAAUCGUUCAUGUCACAUUGUCCCGCCCCUUUUCAACCAAUCCGAAAAACGUAUCCGCCACAUUAUCCUGCCCCACUUUCAUCCGAUGAGGUUGUUUGAUGGGGUGGGGUACAUAUGAUAUGACAUAUUGAAUAAGUUUAUGUCCAGAAUAUUCCUUUAGUCAGCGUUGGGUCCCCCAAGUGGAUUCACAACUUAGAGGAUCUGACAGAGGGUACAGAACUUCUACGCUCUCCAAUCUAUCAUUUUAGAGAUCACGGACCUUUCUGCAGAACAAGGUCAGGCUAUACAUAUCUGGCAGUAGUGUCUAGGAAAUCGAGAUCAAUCAGCAAUAGAUAACAGCGAAGUGAUUAUUUCAGAUGGCGAGUGUUUUAAAACAUCAACGUAAUUUACAUGUCACAACAAUUUGGGGGCAGCCUGCCGCUUGGGCCACAUCCGUGACCUAAGCCAAUUCCUCGAAUUACGGAACAAGGAGAAGAAGAAGAAGACAUAGGUCACGUUUUCGACGGGGGAGAAAAUAACGUCGAUCAAGCGGCUACAUAUCCUGAGGAGUGUUUCAUCACAUUGAAUGGAUUCUUUCGACUAAGAGACGAAAAAUUUGGAAGCUUUGAACGUCUGUUUAUUACACUUCAGGUAUUGAACAUCUUCAAUCAUUAUAUGAUACUCUUGAUUGUCUGAAUAGCUGUGAUGCUGUGAAUAUAGAGUUGAUAAAAAGAUUUCACAUUAGACAUGGCGCAGAAGCGGGUGAAUCUCACACAGUCUUCAGGGGCUAAGAAAAUACGUGGUGAAAAUAAUCUACCGUCUUGUGAUUUCGGUUUUGAUGAAACUUUUUCUAGUAGUUUGUCACAUCACAACUCAUGCACAACUCUGAACCCCUAUUUAACAGACGCUAUCGACCGGUUAAACGAGAGUUUAGGACCAUCACAGCAGCUUGUUAGACAGACCCCUAUUACAGAUUAUAGUGACAUCAUUACACCCGAGACACAACAACGUGACAUAAUCAGUGAACUUAACCAGACUCUGUUAGCAUUACAGAAUAGUCUAAAUGAACAAGGUUACUCUACACAGUCGAAUCCCUCAUUAAUAGAUGCUGUUAACCAGUUGAAUGUUAGUCUAAGAAGUCCUGAGCCGGUUAAUACCCAAUUAGAGCAUUCCAAUCAUAAUUCAGAUCAUAAUGUAUCAAUUACACCACAUACUCAACACGACAUAUUCAGUGAACUUAACCAGAGUCUGCUAGCAUUACAGAAUAGUCUAAAUGAACAAGGUUACUCUACCCCCUUGAAUCCUGAGUUAUUAGAUGCGGUUAAUCAAUUAAAUGAUAGUUUGGCUUUAGCCACAGAUCAAAACAUCAACGAGGUCCCUAUUUCAGAAAUCGAACAUAAUCAUACACCGUUAUCUCCACAUGAUCUGUUUCAUGAUCUUAACCAAAGCCUCGUUAUGUUAAAUGAGGGUUUUGUAAACUUUUUCGAUACCGUUGCUUCACAAAACAUUCAAACUAUAAAUGAACACAGGACUGAAACAGUAAAUGAUCAGUCUCCUAAUGUAGAAGACGUGCAAACAGCUGACACUGAGAACAUAAACCCCCAAAGCUGUAUUGACGUGCAAAUAUUUGGCGGUGUUAACAUACAACCCCCUAGUGUUGAAAGCAUGCAAUUAGAUAAUGACGAGAACCUAGCCCCUCCUAAUGUAGAAAACAUGCGAACAGAUAACGUCGAGAACAUAGCCCCUCCUAACGUGGAAAACGUGCAAGCUGGUAACGGGAUUGAUCCUAAUAUUAGAAUAAUUAAUCGCGACCGAUUCAAUAAUACUGAAAUUAGGAGAAGAGUAAAUUUUUCAUCGAUCGCAGCUGUAGACAGCUUUGCGGAUUUUUAUAAUUAUGUUUUAGAAAUCUUAAACAGUCUGAUAGAAGUGGCUAAUGAAAUGAUUUCACCAAAGGACAUAGUAACGGUUGAAAUUAGAGGUGAUACGAUCGACGUUUCUUCACAUAUUCAUCUAGUUAAUGGGUCUGUUGAUUUACAGUCUUUUCUGACCAUGCUUGAAAAUUCUAUUCAAAGUAAACGUGAAAUUUUUUCAGAUGACACACUCGAAAUAGUAAUCCAAAUAGUUCGACCACCUCGUGGUGGUUCAUAUAGAAGGAAGAUUAGUACAUUAUUCACUUCGGAAGCUAUACAGAAGAAGAUGAGACAUCUGUAUAUAUUUCAUAAUAAAUACAUGUGUUUUACACUGUGUGUUACACAACUUUUGAACCCUCAAAAUAAUGACCUUCAAACUGAAAAAAUCGCUAGGCAAAUCCUCCGUGAUGUAGGAUUAACUGAAAACACAGCUGUCACAUCUGCUGAUGUAUCUAAAUUUGAGAAGCAUCUGAAGUGUAAAAUUGUAAUCAUACACCGUUCUGACAACAAAGCUGGCUACUCUUUCUUUCAAACCAGCAGAACCCCCCAUAAAAAAACAAUUUACUUGUUCUUACAUGACAAUCAUUAUUACGGUGUUAAAAGCAUUACAGGACUUUUGGGGCGUAGUUAUGUCUGUCGUUUCUGUCAUUCAGGGUAUGAGAAUGCCAGAGCUCACAAGUGUGAGUUUAGCUGUAACAUUUGUCGUGAUGUAGAAUGCUACAAUCAUAGACAGAGUAUAAUUAAAUGUCCUGAUUGUUUGAGGUUGUGUAAGUCAAAACGUUGUUUCGACAUACAUAAAGUAAAACGCCGGUCAGAAAGAGGUGUAUACUCUCUGUGUGAAACAGGGUUCUAUUGCAGCAUGCGUAAUGUCGUAGAGUAUCGGAACCCCUUUAACCGGAGAGAUCAUGUGUGCUUAGAGAGCCGUUGUGAUCUCUGUGGUGAAAAAGUGGAUUCAGAAAUAUCGCAUUUCUGUUAUAUACAGCCGUUAAGGAAAGAAAAGCAGAAUAUGAGACACAUCUUUUAUGAUUUCGAGACUACACAGGAAACCGGAACUCAUACUGCUAAUUUAAUAUGUUGCAUGAAUUGUCGUGGUAUGUCGUGGGCGUUUGAAGGGGAGGGGUGUGUUGCAGCAUUUUUUAAGGCUUUCCGUCGUAAAAAGUACAGAGGGUACACAUUUAUAGCGCAUAACCCUAGAGGGUUCGAUUCAUACAUUUUGUUGAAUCAUUUAGUGAAAGAAGGAAUCGCCCCUGAUAUCAUUGCACAAGGUGGAAAAAUUCUGUGUUUUUCUGAUACAGAUUUUCGACAGAGAUACAUCGAUAGUCUGUCUUUCUCACCCAUGAAGUUAAGUAAUCCUCCUAAAGCCAUGGGGUUCUCAGAAAAAAAGAAAGGUUAUUUUCCGCAUUUCUGGAACACAAAAGAACACCAAGACUACAUAGGUCCAUAUCCUGAGCCCGAGCUUUACGGUGUGGAUAGCAUGAUGCCUAAGGACAGGGAGGAUUUUUUUUAUGUGGUACGCGACCGUGACUGACAAAGUCUUUAAUAAUUUAAGACAUUCUGAGACAGGGGUGUUUAGCUUUCAGAAAUGAAAUUCUAGAAAGUACAGAAGUUGAUCCCUUUAAAUGUAUAACAAUCGCAUCUGUAUGCUUGAAAAUCUUCCGGACAUUAUUUCUCGAUGAACACACACUAGCUAUCCCACUACUAGAUAAUUACAUCAAUAACCAGAAAUCUUUCUCAACACCAUCCAUUCAGUGGCUUGAAUACAUUUCCACCACACAAAACCUCCCCAUUCAACACACUCUGAACGAAAGUGAAGCAACAUUUGGCCUUUAUUCUGUUGAUGAAGAUGUGUGUUAUUGUGAAGUGGGUCAGAUGCGAAAGGCAUUUGAGUUUCUCGGCUGUUUUUAUCAUGGGUGUGAAAAGUGUUAUCCCUCAACGGCCCCUUUCCCCCUUAACGCCAACUUUAGCUACGGGGAUGUCCGUCAAAAAACAUUGGAGAAGUAUUUGCAAGAGGUACGCAAUUUACAUGUCACAACAAUUUGGGAGCAUGAGUGGAGUGAAAUGAAGAAAUGUGAUAACAACGUGGUAAACUUUCUAAAAGAGUUUGACUUUCCAGAGCGCAUAAACCCCCGAGACGCCCUUUACGGCGGUAGAACCAACGCAUUGCAUUUACAUUACACAGUAAAAGCAGGAGAGAGAAUAGAUUAUUAUGAUUUCACUUCUCUUUAUCCCUACGUGAAUAAGACAAAAACCUACCCAAUCGGUCACCCAGUCAUCAUUUACCGUGACUUUGAACCUCUAGAGAAUUAUUUUGGGAUAAUCAGAGCUAAAGUAUUACCGCCUAGAGGUCUGUGGUCUCCUGUUCUUCCUUACAGGGUAAGAAGCAAACUUCUUUUCCCUCUGUGUAAAACAUGCUGUGAGCAACAACUGCAAAAGCAGUGUCGCCAUUCAGAUCAAGACCGAGCUCUUAUCGGAACUUGGGCACCUGUCGAAAUAGCUAAGGCCAUUGAAAAGGGGUACAAAAUUUUGAAAGUGUUUGAGGUUUGGCACUUCCCCAAAACCAGGUAAUGCUAACGUAUUCAUCGGAAUUUUUUCACUACAGCAUAUGCGAGACUAGAACUGUACGAUCUGUUGGAUCGUUUAAAACAGCGUUGUUUAUACACAGACACAGACAGCGUCAUUUUUAAAAGCAGUGAAGGUGAUUGGAUGCCUCCAUUGAGCGAUUAUUUGGGGGGUCUUACCAGCGAGCUAGAGGAUGGUGAUCAUAUUGUCGAGUUUGUCAGUGCUGGUCCUAAAACCUAUGGGUAUAAAACUAAAAACGGAAAAACAUCUAUGAAAGCAAAAGGCAUCACUUUAAAUUACUCCAAUUCAAAAGUUGUCAAUUUGAAAUCGCUUACUGAGCUGGUGGAUGAUCGAGUGAAGAAUCCUGAUAAAAUCGGUCAUCUUACAACAUUGCACAAACAAAUCAUUCGAGAUAAAAAGGGUUUUCAUUUGAGAAAUCAAACACAAAUAAAAAGAUUCAGAGUUGUGUAUGACAAACGUGUUUUAUAACCUGAUUUUACAACUCUCCCUUACGGUUAUUAAGAUUGUUCGUGCUUAUGAUUGUAUAUAUGUAUAAUAAAAAGAUCAUUUGUUUUAUUACCUGAAAUUACAACUCUCACUUAUGAGAGUUCUAUGUAUGUAUAAUAAAAAGAUCAUUUUGAUUGAUUCUGUCAACCUGACCACUAGCCAUGGAUAACAUGAAUGUGACUACUUUUGAUGCGAGAUUGCAAAUGCCAUUUUCAUGUAUUGUGUGUGGACCAAGUAAUAGCGGUAAAUCUUUUUUUAUCAAACUUUUGCUGGAAAACAGUAAAGAAGUGUUGUCAAAAGUACCUGAAAAUAUCGGGUGGAUUUAUUCUUGUUGGCAACCAUUGUAUGAUGAGUUGAUGACCAAAAUAAACAUAAAAUUUCUUCAAGGAAUACCCGAUUCAUUGUGUGAUGAUGAACUUUUACCUACUAACAAGACAAACUUGUUGGUGAUAGAUGAUUUAAUGGAGUCUGCCAGUAAAAACGAGGAAGUAGAGAAGGCAUUCACAAAAUACACACACCACAGAAAUCUAAGUGUUGUCUAUCUGGUACAGAAUUUGUUUUUUCAAGGAAAAAGUAGUAGAACCAUUAACUUAAACACAAAUUAUAUGAUUCUUUUUAAAAAUCCUAGAGAUAAAUUACAAAUCAGCAUACUAGCUCGGCAAAUGUAUCCAGAUAAUAGCAAAUAUUUUCUGGAAAGUUUUCACGAUGCUACAAUUAAACCUUACGGUUAUUUAUUUGUCGAUUUAAAAGCUAAUACGCCAGAAGACUUUAGACUACGGUCUGGGGUGUUUCCGCAAGAAACCCCGGUUGUGUAUAUCAGUCUACAGUUCGUUGUCCCCUGUUUUUAAUUCCCCAAUUCUCCCCCCCUCUGAAUGGAUUGAUUUUUGA